UACGUAGGGGGCAAGCGUUGUCCGGAUUCAUUGGGCGUAAAGAGCGUGUAGGCGGCCAGGUAGGUCCGUUGUGAAAACUCGAGGCUCAACCUCGAGACGUCUAUGGAAACCAUCUGGCUAGAGUCCGGAAGAGGAGAGUGGAAUUCCUGGUGUAGCGGUGAAAUGCGCAGAUAUCAGGAAGAACACCAACGGCGAAGGCAGCUCGCUGGGACGGUACUGACGCUGAGGCGCGAAAGCGUGGGGAGCGAACAGG
RNAcentral lists this ribosomal RNA (253 nucleotides) under uncultured bacterium. Its description in RNAcentral is "partial 16S ribosomal RNA". It matches the Rfam family "Bacterial small subunit ribosomal RNA", at positions 524 to 776 of the family's 1533-position model. The record is from RNAcentral.